RNAcentral lists this long non-coding RNA (1832 nucleotides) under Podarcis lilfordi (Lilford's wall lizard). The record is from RNAcentral. Lineage: Eukaryota; Metazoa; Chordata; Lepidosauria; Squamata; Lacertidae.
AGAACGAAAGGAUCAGACAACCCAGGACUGUCUUCUACAGACUCUGUAUAUGGGAACUAAAGUCUAAUUCCCACAAAAAGGACUAAUGUUGCUAUAAGCUAAAAAAAGAUAAAGGUAAAGGACUCCUGAACAGUUAAGUCCAGUCAAAGGCGACUAUGGGGUUGCGGCGCUCAUCUCGCUUUCAGGCCGAGGGAGCCGACGUUUGUCCACAGACAGCUUUCCUGGUCAUGUGGCCAACAUGACUAAACCGCUUUUGGUGAAAUGGAACACUGUGACAGAAACCAGAGCGCACGGAAACGCCGUUUACUGCCCGCCACAGCAGUUCCUAUUUAUCUACAGUGGUACCUCGGGUUACAGAUGCUUCAGGUUACAGACUCUGCUAAUGCAGAAAUAGUACCUCGGGUUAAGAACUUUGCUUCAGGAUGAGAACAGAAAUUGCACGGCAGCGGCGCGGUGGCAGCAGGAGGCCCCAUUAGCUAAAGUGGUACCUCAGGUUAAGAACAGUUCCAGGUUAAGAACGGACGUCCAGAACGAAUUAAGUUCUUAACCCGAGGUACCACUGUACUUGCACUGGCGUGCUUUUGAAUUGCUCGGUUACCAGGAGCUGGGACAGAGCGACGAGAGCUCACCCCGUCGUGGGGAUUCAAACCACCAACCUUCUGAUCAGCAAGUCCAAGAGGCUGGGUGGUUUAGAUCACAGCGCCACCUGUGUCCCUUGGAAGGAACCUAAGGAACCUUCUUAACAAUCGUUUCAAACCCACUUUAUUGAUUCAUUUGAUGCCACAACCAUCCAAUGGAUAGACAGUGCCCUCAAGCAUGACUUUGAAUAUGGGGCAGGUUGCAACCCAAAGGCAAUUGCUAAAAGAGAAUCAAUCAAAGGCAAAUGUAAAUUGAAGUAUUUCUGGCAUCUUAAUUCUAGCUGCACUUCCCCAAGUCUUCCUUCAGAUGGUGGCCCCUCAAGCAGCUUCUCAGUGCUGGCCAUGUCUUCUGGUUGUUAACUGAAUGUAUGAAAGGUUUACAACUGCAAGCACAAGAGAUGUAAAUUGUUUUCUAUUACCAGGUGGUGACAUUGCAUUCACUCUCGCAGCUCGGUCGAAGGGUGGGUGGGGGUGGGUGGGAAUCCUUGCAAGAGCCAAAGGCAAACCAACCCAAAGAAAGGAUUUACAAAAACGUUACAGAAAAACCUAAAUUAAUCUCCAGGCUUUAUGAAGCUCUCUGUAAAAUACAGCAGAAUACGCAAUUGGUUUCCCUGGCCACGGAAAUGAGACUUCAGCAAAUAUGUGAUUUCACAAGGGAGCUUCAGCGGGGAUGUUUUUAGACAUUUAAAAAUAGCAAUUUAGAUUUAGUUCUGGUGCUGACACACAAUGCCACUUUGGCAAACUUAACUUUCCUGCUAACUCUGAUGGUUGUGUGGAAUGCACAGUUGCUGUACUGCUGAGAAAGAUAUGCUUAGAAAUUUAAUUAGAUAGAAAAGGAUAUCACACCAGAGGGCCUGGGAACUGUCCUGUGGCAUUCAAUUUGGGAUUUACUUUUAGAAACAACUUAAUUCCACACCCUCCAACAUUCCUCAGAUGAAAAUAGAGCUAUUUCUCACUACCCCCCAACUGACCCUGCUUGACCCCCCAUUUUUUGCCCCCCCCCCGGAAUAUUUCCUAUCAGGAGAAGUGCAAGUCCCACCACCACCACACCAAUGAGAUAACCCCUUAAUCCUGAAUUUAUUUUAUUGUAUUCUUUUGUAGAUUUACCAAAACACAUACCAAUACAGUGGUACCUUGGUUCUCAAAUGCCUUGGAACUCAAACAACCUGGAACCCAAACACUGCAAACCUGGAA